Hypanus sabinus (Atlantic stingray) is the source of this 4973-nucleotide long non-coding RNA. RefSeq lists it as uncharacterized. Lineage: Eukaryota; Metazoa; Chordata; Chondrichthyes; Myliobatiformes; Dasyatidae. The transcript is spliced from 4 exons. The record is from RefSeq and is a predicted model, not a curated record.
AUGUCACUGCUUUUAAAUUCCAACCCUUGCAUAAUGAACGAUAACAAUUUGUGUGCUUUUUUUAAAAUCAACUUGUCAGCUGGUUCUUCUGCUGUUAGUGACCUGAGCAGAAACACUGCAAGAUUUCUUUGUUCCUCUACACAUACUCAACUUCCUGCCGUUCAUUGCAAUCUGAAAUAUGAAAGGAUCUGAAAGAAAGUCCUAACAAAUCCCACCACCAUAUCCAGGAAGGUAAAGGAAAAGUGAGGCUGGACUCCUUUCCACGGAAAACAUGACUGCUUCCAUUUGACAUCUCCACAUUUGACUAAAUAUGGAACACAAAAUGAAUACAAAUGAUAAUCAAGAGAAAUUCUCCAGCUCUGGGGCAUAGAGUACCAGGACUCCUACACACAAGGACCAUGAUCUGAAAAAAAAUUCUAAGAGAAAAAAACUGUUGGAGCCUGUGAUAUGCAGUUUGGAAUUCAAUCGAAUGACCUAGCAAGAACACAAGCUGCUUUGUAGAAAAGAUCAGAGAAGAGGUGGGGAGUCAUGAACAAGUCUAUUUCGAAGUGUCAAGGAAGAUGUGAAUGCAGAGGAGGUCAGCUGUCACUCUCAACGGAGGCCACGGGCUCAGUAGCCGGGUCUCUAGUGUUUGUGUUUGGACCCGGCGUGGUGGUCGCUCUUCGUGGAAGGACUAAGUACGUGCAGCCACUCUCCUUCAAAGCUGAUGAGAGAAGUUUUCGAUAUGCUAAGAUUUAUGUGAAUAUUGGACUCUACUUUCUAUUGGUCUCCUUCAGUUUUCCGUGCUUUCUUGCUUGUCACUGAUUGGCAGCUGGGCGAAUUAUUACUUUUUAUGCGAGGAAGAAGUUGGGAAUUUGGCAUCCGAUAUUCUUAUUGGUGUUUUUCUGUGUGGGUGAAUCUGUUAGUUCUUGUGUGACAGAGAAGGGUUUGGGGUUUCGAUGCUAUUGUCGCUGUUGUUCUCUGCAAGGAAGGGGUUAAGGGAUUUUAUGCCAUCAUUACUGUUUUUUGUGAGAGUAUUGGGGCUUUGGGGUUUAUGAGGGUGACUGGUUAGUUUUUUUGUGUGAGAUAGGUACAGGGGAUUUUGGCGUUUGUAAGUUUUGUUUCUGUAUUGUUGUGGAGGAGUGAUGGCUUUUCUUUUCAACAACUCACAUGGGUUUUCUGUAUUUCAUGCCUAUCUGGAAAAGACAAAUAUCAGAGUUGUAUUUUAUAUGCAUACCUUGACAAUAAAACCCACCUUUGAACCUCAUCCUUAAUAAAUGACUCCAACAUCUUCUCAACCACAGAAGUCAGGUCUAUAAUUUCCUUUCCUCUGUGCCCUCUCUUCUUAAAAUCUGCAGUGACAUUUGCAAUUUCCCUCACCUUAAUGAUUCUUGAAAGAUCAUUACUAAUGCCUCCACAAUCUCUUCAACUACCUCUUUCAGAACCCUGGGUGAUUAAUCUACCUUCGUAACUUUCACCUUCCAAAGUACCUUCUCCUUAGAACAAUGAUACUCACUUCUAGCCUACUGCUAGUGUCUUUCAUAGUGAAGAUUGACAGAAAAUAGUUAUAAACUUCCCCCACUAUUAAAUUUGGCUCCCAUUACUACCUCUCCAGUGACAUUUUCCAGCAAUCUAAUACCCACUCUCACCUCUCUUUUACAUAUUGAAAAAGCUUUUAGUAUCCUCUUUGAUAUUAUUGGUUAGCUUCCAUUCAUAUUUCAUCUUUUCUCCCCUUAUGGCUUUUUGGUUGUUUUUAAUUGUUUCCUUAAAAAGCUUCCCAAACAUGUAACACCCCACUAAUUUUUGCUAUAUUAUAUGCUCUCUCUUUUGCUUUUAUGCUGUCUUUGACUUCCCUUAUCAGCCACGGUUGUUUUAUCCUCCAUUUAGAAUACUUCAUCUUUGAGAUAUAUCUAUCCUGUGCCAUCUAAAUUGUUACUAGAAACUUCAGCCAUAUUUUUUCUGCCAUCAUCCCUGUUACUGUACCCUUCGAAUCAGCUUAGUCCAGCUCCUCUCUCAUGCCUCUUUAAUUCCCUUUACUCUACUGUAACACUGACACAUUUAGCUUUACCCUCUCCCUCUCAAACUGCAGGGAGAAUUCUAUCACUGCUUCCUAAGGGUUCUUUUACCUUAAGCUUCUUAAUCAAAUUUGGUUCAUAACACAGCACCCAGUCCAGAACUGUCUUUCCCCAAGGGGGGCUGAACCACAAGCUGCUCUUAAAAAGCCUCUUGGGAUCCAGCACCAAGAUGAUUUUCUAUCUCCUAUUGAAACUUGCACUUCACAUCCUGGCUACAAUAUGGAGGCCUGUAUAUAACACCCAGAAUAUUUUUACCUUUGCUGUUUCUUAACUCUGUCCACAAGAAUUACAAAUCUUCCAAUCCUAUGUCACUUCUUUCUAAAGAUUUGAUUUCAUUUUUUUUAAACCAACAGAGCCACCUCUGCCUGCCUGCUUGUCCUUUCGAAACAAUGUGUAUCCUUGGAUGUUAAGCUUCCAACCACAAUCUUCCUUCAGCCACAACUCAGAGAUCCAUAUCAUACCUACCAAUCUCUAACUGCACUACAAGAUCAUCUACCUCAUUCGAUGCAUUCAAAUAUAACACCUUCAGUCCUAUUUUCAUCAUCCUUUUUGAGUUUGGCCCCUCGUUAUACCUUAACCCCUUGCUAUACUUUAAUCCAUUCCAGUGACUACAAUUUUGCUCUAUCAUCUGCCGUGUCUUGCCUCACAGACUUGCUACAAACUGCAUCUAGUUGCAUACCAACUGCUCCAUCCUCAGCCCUAUUCCCAUUUCCCAUCCCUCCUGCCAAAUUAGUUUAAACCCUCACCAACAGCUUUCGCAAACCUGUCCGAGAGGAUUAUUAGUUCUCCCUUGAGUUGAAGUGCAACCCGUCUUUUUCUACACAGGUCGUAGCUUCCCCAGAACAGAUUCCAAUGAUCCAGAAUUCUGAAACCCUGUCCCCUGCCACCUGCCAACUCCUCAGCCACACAUUCAUCUGCCAAAUCAUCCUAUUCUUAUUCAUCUUCGCUGGCACAUGGCACAGGCAGCAAUUCAGAUUACUGCUCUGGAGGUCCUGCUUUUCAGCUUUCCACCGAGCUCCCGAGAUUCUCUCUUCAGGAACUCUUCCCUUUUCCUAUGUUGUUGCUACCAAUACGCAUCAUGAUUUGUCAUUGUUCACCCUCCCCCUUUGGAACACUGUGGACCCGAUGUGAGACAUCCCUGACCCAGGCACCUAAGAGGCAAAAUAACACCAGGGUGUCUUUUCACAUGCAAAGAAUCUUCUACCUGGUUCUCUGACUAUGGAAUCACCUACCACUACUGCACUCCUCCCCUUUCCCUUCUGAGCCACAGAGCAAGACUCAGAGAUCUGCUCACUGUGGCUUCUCCCUGAUAGGUUAAUUGCCCAUACUGUACCCAAAGCAGUAUACUUAUUAUUGAGGGGAACGGCUACAAAGGUAUCUGCCUAUUCCCUUCCUCUCUCCUGGCAGUCACCCAGGUUCUUGCCUCCAAAGGAAAUAACCCAACUCCAAUAAACCUCUCUGCCAAGGUAACGAGGCCUACUUUGUCCUUAUUAUUCAAACCUCAUGUAAUUUUGUAAACCUGUUUUAAGUCACUUUCAGCCACAUGGCAAAAAGAAUCACAGCCUCAAAGAUCUCCAUGUAUUACAAAAACUCUGUAUAGUCACCAUGAUGAUUUUCUCUCCAGAGAAGUGCUCCAUUAUCACAUCCUUCCUAUAAUGCCAAUAAUGAUUCUGUCCCACUGCCAGUAAAGUAUACAAGGUGACAUAGCAGUGCAUGCUCUUCCAAUGGCUGCGUAAGUUUUCUCCAGAUGCUCUGGUUUCCCAUCACAUCCCAAUGUUGUGUAGGUUAAUUGGUCACAGUGGGUUAAUUGGUGAUUGGUCACAAUGGUUAAUAGGUGAUAGAACCUAGGGACGUUGAAAAGGAUAUGGGGAAAUUGAAAAAUGGGAUUAAAGUAGGAUUAGUAGAAACUGAGGGCCAGAUGGUCAGCACGGUCUAGAUGAAGCAAGGAGAUGCUUCUGUGCACUUUCUCUCUGAUUCUAUGACAAUAUUUCUAACCAUAUUAUCCAUACAUACUUCCAAGAUGGCAACGUGACACAGCUUGCAGCGGCCACUAUGGAGCUGGUUAUCUGUUAUUUGUGAAGUGGGGUGCCGUGCGCAAUCAUAAUCGAUUGAAAACGGACGUGGGAGCACGGAGGAACAUCGGGAAAUCUCCAGGAAGACCGUCUUCGUUGCUGUUGCUGCCGUGAUCCGGGACUCUGCUGGGAAGAACAGGACCCCAGCCCACGGGGUUGCGUUGCCGAUGGCCGUUGGCGGGGCCGUCUUAAUACGCUUGGCAAAGGAUGGUGCUCUGAGAAGCUGUGCCGGAGGGGAUGGUCAUCGGCUCGGAGGUUCGACAGACUCGGAGUCUGCUGCGGUCAGAUCGCUUUCGGUGUGUGCUGCGUCUGCGAGGCUGAGUUCAACGGAGCUUUCAUUGUGUGCUGUGUCUGCGAGGCUGAGUCGGGCAGCAACGUGGAAGUCCAUAGUGGGGGUAUUCCCUUCUGCUGCCAGCGUGGGAUGGCGAGUCUGUCAGGACCCUGGGGACUUGUGGAAACUGUGUGGAGAUUUCUUUUGAACUGAUAGUCCUUUAACAUCUUUGGACUAUUUUUACUGUGCCCAUAGUCUUUUUUUUUUUAUCAAUUAUGCUAUUGUUUGCAGUUGUAAUUAUGUGGUUUUGUGCAGGUCUUGUAGCUUUAGUUUUUGGUCUUGUUUGUCUGGUGGAUUUGGAGCUCCUUUCCGGGGGACGCGGUAAGACGGUAGCGCGAUAUUAAUACACAGCAGUCUCUCCGGACUCUGGAUUGGGGAUUGCCAAAUGUUAUGUGGAUUUUCUAGUGUAGUCUGUUUUGUCAUAUGCUUUUGUGUUAUCAUUCUGGAGGAACAUUGUCUCAUUUUUUUAACUGCAUUGCAUUUGUGGUUUCUAAAUGACAAUAAACUGAACCUGAA